RNAcentral lists this ribosomal RNA (497 nucleotides) under uncultured bacterium. RNAcentral describes it as "partial 16S ribosomal RNA". It matches the Rfam family "Bacterial small subunit ribosomal RNA", at positions 28 to 507 of the family's 1533-position model. The record is from RNAcentral.
GACGAACGCUGGCGGCGUGCCUAAUACAUGCAAGUUGAGCGCUGAAGGUUGGUACUUGUACCGACUGGAUGAGCAGCGAACGGGUGAGUAACGCGUGGGGAAUCUGCCUUUGAGCGGGGGACAACAUUUGGAAACGAAUGCUAAUACCGCAUAAAAACUUUAAACACAAGUUUUAAGUUUGAAAGAUGCAAUUGCAUCACUCAAAGAUGAUCCCGCGUUGUAUUAGCUAGUUGGUGAGGUAAAGGCCCACCAAGGCGAUGAUACAUAGCCGACCUGAGAGGGUGAUCGGCCACAUUGGGACUGAGACACGGCCCAAACUCCUACGGGAGGCAGCAGUAGGGAAUCUUCGGCAAUGGACGAAAGUCUGACCGAGCAACGCCGCGUGAGGGAAGAAGGUUUUCGGAUCGUAAAACUCUGUUGGUAGAGAAGAACGUUGGUGAGAGUGGAAAGCUCAUCAAGUGACGGUAACUACCCAGAAAGGGACGGCUAACUACGUG